This 120-nucleotide ribosomal RNA is filed under the name Diaphorina citri (Asian citrus psyllid). The record is from RNAcentral. Lineage: Eukaryota; Metazoa; Arthropoda; Insecta; Hemiptera; Psyllidae.
GCGAGCGGCCGUAACACAUUGAAUUCGCCAGUUACAAAUGGAUCACCGAAGUUGAGUAAAGUUGUGCUCUGUUGGUAUCCGAAUGGGUGACCAUCUGGGAAGAGUGGGCAGUCGCGAGCU